UGGUUAGAGCAGUGGAAUCAUAAUCCAUGUGUCCGGGGUUCGAGUCCCUGAUCCGCCACCA
Molecule: transfer RNA, 61 nt
Filed under: Rhodospirillaceae bacterium
Lineage: Bacteria; Pseudomonadati; Pseudomonadota; Alphaproteobacteria; Rhodospirillales; Rhodospirillaceae
Description: tRNA-Ser
Rfam family: tRNA
About the family: Transfer RNA (tRNA) molecules are approximately 80 nucleotides in length. Their secondary structure includes four short double-helical elements and three loops (D, anti-codon, and T loops). Further hydrogen bonds mediate the characteristic L-shaped molecular structure. tRNAs have two regions of fundamental functional importance: the anti-codon, which is responsible for specific mRNA codon recognition, and the 3' end, to which the tRNAs corresponding amino acid is attached (by aminoacyl-tRNA synthetases). tRNAs cope with the degeneracy of the genetic code in two manners: having more than one tRNA (with a specific anti-codon) for a particular amino acid; and 'wobble' base-pairing, i.e. permitting non-standard base-pairing at the 3rd anti-codon position.
Source: RNAcentral